GACGAACGCUGGCGGCGUGCUUAACACAUGCAAGUCGAACGGAAAGGCCUUUUCGGAGGUACUCGAGUGGCGCACGGGUGAGUAACACGUGGGUGAUCUGCCCUGCACUCUGGGAUAAGCCUGGGAAACUGGGUCUAAUACCGGAUAGGACCGCACUUUAGUGUGUGUGGUGGAAAGUUUUUUCGGUGUAGGAUGAGCCCGCGGCCUAUCAGCUUGUUGGUGGGGUAAUGGCCUACCAAGGCGGCGACGGGUAGCCGGACUGAGAGGUUGGUCGGCCACAUUGGGACUGAGAUACGGCCCAGACUCCUACGGGAGGCAGCAGUGGGGAAUAUUGCACAAUGGGCGCAAGCCUGAUGCAGCGACGCCGCGUGGGGGAUGACGGCCUUCGGGUUGUAAACUCCCUUCGCCAGGGACGAAGCGUUUUGUGACGGUACCUGGAGAAGAAGCACCGGCUAACUACGUG
Molecule: ribosomal RNA, 463 nt
Filed under: uncultured bacterium
Lineage: Bacteria
Description: partial 16S ribosomal RNA
Rfam family: Bacterial small subunit ribosomal RNA
Source: RNAcentral